AAAAAACAACCGCUAGUCACCAAGCGCGCAAGGGGAGAAAGAGAGAGAGAGAC
Molecule: small RNA, 53 nt
Filed under: Oryza sativa Japonica Group (Japanese rice)
Lineage: Eukaryota; Viridiplantae; Streptophyta; Magnoliopsida; Poales; Poaceae
Description: sRNA Os10g0571250
Source: RNAcentral